This 402-nucleotide ribosomal RNA is filed under the name uncultured bacterium. RNAcentral describes it as "bacterial SSU rRNA". It matches the Rfam family "Bacterial small subunit ribosomal RNA", at positions 355 to 774 of the family's 1533-position model. The record is from RNAcentral.
UGGGGAAUAUUGGACAAUGGGCGAAAGCCUGAUCCAGCCAUGCCGCGUGAGUGAUGAAGGCCCUAGGGUUGUAAAGCUCUUUUGUGCGGGAAGAUAAUGACGGUACCGCAAGAAUAAGCCCCGGCUAACUUCGUGCCAGCAGCCGCGGUAAUACGAAGGGGGCUAGCGUUGCUCGGAAUCACUGGGCGUAAAGGGUGCGUAGGCGGGUUUCUAAGUCAGAGGUGAAAGCCUGGAGCUCAACUCCAGAACUGCCUUUGAUACUGGAAGUCUUGAGUUCGGGAGAGGUUAGUGGAACUGCGAGUGUAGAGGUGAAAUUCGUAGAUAUUCGCAAGAACACCAGUGGCGAAGGCGGCUCACUUGCCCGAUACUGACGCUGAGGCACGAAAGCGUGGGGAGCAAACA